UUGUAAGAACCUGGAUAGGUAACUUCAGCUUCAAACCCGUAAUGAGGGCUACCUACUAGUGGCCUCGACGCAGCUAGCUGCGUGAACGUCCCCAAAGCUCGCAAAGCAACCGGAAGCGCGAGCAGCCAACUGACGUUGGUGGCUGC
RNAcentral lists this small RNA (146 nucleotides) under Pseudomonas syringae pv. syringae HS191. Its description in RNAcentral is "radC RNA". The record is from RNAcentral. Lineage: Bacteria; Pseudomonadati; Pseudomonadota; Gammaproteobacteria; Pseudomonadales; Pseudomonadaceae.